UACGUAGGUGGCAAGCAUUGUCCGGAAUUAUUGGGCGUAAAGCGCGCGCAGGCGGCUUCUUAAGUCUGAUGUGAAAUCUCGGGGCUCAACCCCGAGCGGCCAUUGGAAACUGGGAAGCUUGAGUACAGAAGAGGAGAGUGGAAUUCCACGUGUAGCGGUGAAUGACGUAGAUAUGUGGAGGAACACCAGUGGCGAAGGCGACUCUCUGGUCUGUAACUGACGCUGAGGCGCGAAAGCGUGGGGAGCAAACAGG
RNAcentral lists this ribosomal RNA (253 nucleotides) under uncultured bacterium. RNAcentral's name for it is "partial 16S ribosomal RNA". It matches the Rfam family "Bacterial small subunit ribosomal RNA", at positions 524 to 776 of the family's 1533-position model. The record is from RNAcentral.